UACGUAGGGGGCAAGCGUUGUCCGGAAUUAUUGGGCGUAAAGAGCGCGUAGGCGGUCCGAUAAGUCGGCUGUGAAAGUCCAGGGCUCAACCCUGGAAAGCCGGCCGAUACUGUCGGACUAGAGUCCGGAAGAGGUAAGUGGAAUUCCCGGUGUAGCGGUGAAAUGCGCAGAUAUCAGGAGGAACACCGGGUGGCGAAGGCGGGUCUCUGGGCCGAUACUGACGCUGAGGAGCGAAAGCGUGGGGAGCAAACAGG
Molecule: ribosomal RNA, 254 nt
Filed under: uncultured bacterium
Lineage: Bacteria
Description: partial 16S ribosomal RNA
Rfam family: Bacterial small subunit ribosomal RNA
Source: RNAcentral